RNA transcript from Abrus precatorius (Indian licorice), 3045 nucleotides. It is a transcript of the gene named dolichyl-diphosphooligosaccharide--protein glycosyltransferase subunit 1B, with no coding region annotated. The transcript has 9 exons. Lineage: Eukaryota; Viridiplantae; Streptophyta; Magnoliopsida; Fabales; Fabaceae. The record is from RefSeq and is a predicted model, not a curated record.
AGAGAGAGUCUCGUCAACUGCAUUGGCAAUGGCAAUGGCAAUGGAAGCUCUGCUAAGACUUGUCUUUCUCUCCUUCUUCCUUCUUUCAAUUGCAUACUCUUCUCCUUCUCAACACAUUCAGAUCACCAAUGCAGAACGCAGAAUUGAUUUGAGUUCUCACAUUAUCAAGGUGUACCUGACAUUGAAGGUUGAAAAUUCAGGGACAUCUCCUGCUUCAGAAGUACAUCUUGCUUUUUCCCCCACUGAAGUUGAACAUUUAGCAAUUUUCAAAGCUGCUGCAACUUCUGGGAAGAAGAAGAAGAAAACUUAUGUCCCUCUUGAUGUCAAAUCUGCUGAGCUACCAGAUGGACCAAAUGGAACUAAGUUUUUCUCUAUAACUCUGUUAACUCCACUACGUAAAGGUGAAACCACAACACUAGAGGUGCUUUACAUAUUGACCCAUUCUCUGGAACCUUUCCCAGUAGAAAUAAGUCAAUCAGAGUCACAAUUAGUCUAUUUCCAUGAUAGUGCAAUAUUAUUGUCCCCCUAUCAUGUCAAGCAACAGACAACUUUCAUUAAGACACCAAGUACUCGGGUAGAAUCAUUCACGGUAGUGGAGCCCACUAAACGUGCUGGUACAGAGCUGAAAUAUGGGCCAUAUGACAAUUAUCACCCGUAUUCAUAUUCUCCUGUACUUGUUCAUUUUGAAAAUAACAAUCCGUUUGCUGUUGUUGAGGAGCUUGAACGAGAAAUCGAAAUAUCUCACUGGGGAAGCAUACAAGUCACAGAGCAAUAUAGGCUGGCCCAUGCUGGUGCUCGACAUAAAGGCGUUUUUUCAAGGGUUGAAUAUCAAACUAGACCUGGUGGUACUGGUGUUUCUUCAUUUAAACAUCUUCUAGCAAAACUACCCCCUAGGGUUCACUCAGUAUAUUACCGGGAUGGAAUAGGGAAUAUUUCCUCUUCACAUCUGCGUACAGAGUCGCGGAAGUCAGAACUUGAAAUUGAACCUCGUUAUCCUCUAUUUGGAGGCUGGAAAGCAACCUUUGUCAUUGGUUAUGGGCUACCAUUGCAAGACUUCCUUUUUGAGUCUCCAGAUGGAAAAAGAUACCUCAAUUUUACUUUUGGUUGCCCUCUUGUUGAGACAGUGGUUGACAAGUUGAUUGUAAAAGUAAGUUGUGCUGCCAGAGGGGUCCAAAGAUCCCACAGCCGUGAUUCCUUUUGAAGUAGAGCAACAUCUAGAGACCAAGUAUUCAUAUCUUGAUGUUGUCGGCAGGACUGUAGUAGUUCUAGAAAAGAGAAAUGCAGUUCCUGAGCAUAAUACUCCUUUCCAGGUAUACUACAACUUUAACCCUAUAUUUAUGCUUGCUGAGCCAUUGAUGCUGGCAUCUGCAUUUUUCUUGCUUUUUGUGGCUUCCGUGGCAUAUCUUCACGUUGAUCUAUCCAUACGCAAAUGAUGAACAUCUAGCUAGUUUACGAAAAGGUAUGUGUUAAAUCCCCCCUUUCAACUAAUUUUUAUGAUUAAGAGUUAAAACAUUAUCUUUCGUCUUUGCUCUACGCUUUUAAGUGUUUUGGCUUGUUCAACAGGCAGUGACUGAGCAGAUCCAAUGGUUCUUAUUUGAGAAGGUUAUAUAGCAUUUUGGCAGCAUUGUGUGGAAUUAAGAGGACAAAUUAUAAUUAUAGAUUUGCUUGUUUGUACGAUUUUCCCCUGGCAAUUCUAUCUUAUGCCAUUCAUUCAAAUAACUUUCAACCAUUUUAAAAACAAAGGAUAUGUUAGUUAAGGCCAUCAUCCUAAAGGCACGUAAUGCUAAGAAACUUCUAAGGUCUUCCUUUGUAGGUGUUAGAAAUAUUUCAAUGUGAUACUUAGUAAUCAAUACCUGAAAUGAAAAACUUUUUUGGUGAGGGGAACUUUAAAGUAAUUUUUCCUAGUUUUGCGUUAUGGCUAAACUAUUGCAAAUUUAUUAUUUAAUAAGAUAUUCUUAUAAGUGAAUAAUAAUGUUGUCGAGUGCGAAAUUGGAAAGAGAAAUAGCCAUUUGGUCAUAAAUUUUGCCUUCUAUUUGAAUGGCAUCUUGGUUAGAAUUUUACGUUAUUAAAUUUAUGCUUGGGCAUUGUUUCCUCUUAAACACUCCUAAAAUUUCAUAAGUCUGAAAACGUGUUCUUUAAUAAUAGACUUAUUGUUGCGACAUCCAAUAUUUAAUAAUGCGAAUUAGCAAAGAAAACGAAUAUCAUGUAGAUUUUUUUUUUUAAAAUAUCUUAUCUUUCAGUGAUAAUGAGCUAGAGGAAAAUGCCACCUCUUUGGAGAGAGAGAAAAAAAAAAUGGAACUGUCAAAAUUUACAUUAUUUCCCAAUUUUUUUUUGUUCCAUAAAGUUCUCCCAGUUUGAAAAUUUGUAGAACGCAAAAUAACAUUUCUUGGGUUCUCUUAAGAUUUGAGAUGAAGAAAGAAAAAGAAAACUAGAAGUAAAAGUUCUUUAAAUUAGCUUUGAAAAACACCUUCUUUUUUUGGUUAAGUUUUCUUCAUUAAUUUUUUAAAAGUUUAUUAAAUUUUUGGUCUAAAAGUUUAUUUUCUUAAGCUAUGACAUGUAAGUAAUAUUUAUCUAGAAAGAAAUGCCCAAGCCCAACCCUCAUGGAUUAAAAGUGAAAGCGCACGGUUUUGAUGGUAAUAAUUCAAGCUCUUUCAUAGAGUCGAGAAGAAAAAAAAAAUAGAGCUCUUUAUCUGCAAGCAACAUUGAUAAGCUUGGAACGGAAGAAGCUGACAAGCUUUUCGUCAUCUUCUUGAGCAAGCUAUAUUCAAACCCAGACAGUGCUUCUUCCACACUUGUUACGGAACCAAUCUAAGAACCUCUUCAUCUUAUAGGUAAAGAGUUUUCAGGGAUUGUUUAAAAGGGAAUUUUUGAAAGGCAAGGGAGGGGCUGAUAAAUUUAUUAUUUUUAAAUUAAAUACUAGUCAGAAAUUCGUUGUGACAUAUUUUAUUGAUAAUAUUUACUAUUAAAAUUUUUCAACAACCAUAAUCUUCUUUUGUCAAAUUUUUAACCUUCUUUUUGGGUUUUAUAGCAUUACUUUACUUUUUU